Molecule: long non-coding RNA, 592 nt
Organism: Suricata suricatta (meerkat)
Lineage: Eukaryota; Metazoa; Chordata; Mammalia; Carnivora; Herpestidae
Exons: 2
Source: RefSeq, a predicted model, not a curated record
ACUGCCCGGCGGGGCCUUUGUCUCCCCAGGGCAGGGCCUGGUGCUGGUCCCCGCCUUGGCCGCCUGGCCCCCAGCAGGCCUGGCCGGCUCCGCAGGCUGCUACCCGAGCCCUCCUCACACGCUAAGCCGGGAAGACAGCAGGGAGAACCUCGCUGCUCUAGUGGGCCUGGGCCGGGGCCAGGGCCAGGGUCAGAGGCGGGGAGUCUAAGAGCAGGAAGGGGCUGUUGCAGGGGAAGGGGCUGAGAAGGAAAAGAUGGAGAUGUCCCUGGACAGUGGGGCUGAGUCCGAGGAGGGGAAGUUGGAAGUGAGCGGAGAAUCGGAGGGAGACCGGGGAGGUUUGCACAGUUGCCAUAUUAUUUUAACAUAUAAAUCCAGGAACUGAGAGCCGAGGGGUAGCCCAAGCACUAAAUGAAACCUGAGAAGUUGACAUGAUCAGCCUGGAAGAACCUGGGAAGCUGUAGCAACUUUAAGGACUGAAAUCUGUGUCUCCACCCUAUCAGGACUCACAGGUUGACAACGCUGUUAUGUGUAAUGGAAUUGGAAGGUGCUUCUUAAAGUGUCUGGUGGGAACGCUCCUUCCCCACUGUCCACA